This 68-nucleotide transfer RNA is filed under the name Marmota monax (woodchuck). RNAcentral's name for it is "tRNA.Thr". Lineage: Eukaryota; Metazoa; Chordata; Mammalia; Rodentia; Sciuridae. The record is from RNAcentral.
UUAUAGCUUAGUGGUAGAGUGCUCACCUAGUACAUGUGAGGCACUGGGUUCAAUCCUCAGUUUAUAAA